AGAGACGCCACAACUCCACAGCAGCCAUAUUGCGGCCACCAAGUGAAAGUCCACCUCGUGCUACUCCAAAUCAAGCUGAAAGCCCACCACGAAGUACUCCAACUCAAGCCGAAACACCUCCAGCUACACCGCCAAGUCCUGAAAGUCCCGUUGCAGCUGCUCGAAGGAUCAUCCGCAGGCCUAGAAGUAAUUCGAUGGGAAGGUUCGGGGACGAGCUGCCGAG
Molecule: long non-coding RNA, 223 nt
Filed under: Daucus carota (carrot)
Lineage: Eukaryota; Viridiplantae; Streptophyta; Magnoliopsida; Apiales; Apiaceae
Description: long non-coding RNA (DCAR_LNC006208)
Source: RNAcentral